Molecule: ribosomal RNA, 875 nt
Filed under: uncultured bacterium
Lineage: Bacteria
Description: bacterial SSU rRNA
Rfam family: Bacterial small subunit ribosomal RNA
Source: RNAcentral
AACGAACGCUGGCGGCGUGGAUAAGACAUGCAAGUCGAGCGAGAUUUUUUCCUGUAGCAAUACAGGGGAAAAUCUAGCGGCGAACGGGUGCGUAACACGUGGGCAACCUGCCGGGAAGUGGGGGAUAGCUCGCCGAAAGGCGAAUUAAUACCGCAUGUGAUCAGGGGAGGCAUCUCUCCGAAAUCAAAGUCGGGGCAACCUGACGCUUCCUGAGGGGCCCGCGGCCUAUCAGCUAGUUGGUGAGGUAACGGCUCACCAAGGCGGUGACGGGUAGCUGGUCUGAGAGGACGACCAGCCACACUGGGACUGAGACACGGCCCAGACACCUACGGGUGGCAGCAGUCGAGAAUUUUCCUCAAUGGGCGAAAGCCUGAAGGAGCGACGCCGCGUGGAGGAUGAAGGCCUUCGGAUUGUAAACUCCUGUCAUUGGGGAACAAGGCUGCGCGGUUAACUGCCGGGCAGUUUGAUAGUACCCGAAGAGGAAGAGACGGCUAACUCUGUGCCAGCAGCCGCGGUAAUACAGAGGUCUCAAGCGUUGUUCGGAUUCAUUGGGCGUAAAGGGUGCGUAGGCGGCGCGGUAAGUCGGGUGUGAAAUCUCGGAGCUUAACUCCGAAACUGCAUUCGAUACUGCCGCGCUCGAGGACUGGAGAGGAGACUGGAAUUCACGGUGUAGCGGUGAAAUGCGUAGAUAUCGUGAGGAAGACCAGUGGCGANNGNGGGUCUCUGGACAGUUCCUGACGCUGANGCACGAAGGCCANGGGAGCAAACGGGAUUAGAUACCCCGGUAGNCCUGGNAGUNAACGGUGCACGUUUGGNGUGGGANGANUCGACCCCUUCCGUGNCNGNANCUAACGCGUUAAACGUGCCGCCUGGGG